This 255-nucleotide ribosomal RNA is filed under the name uncultured bacterium. RNAcentral describes it as "partial 16S ribosomal RNA". It matches the Rfam family "Bacterial small subunit ribosomal RNA", at positions 524 to 776 of the family's 1533-position model. The record is from RNAcentral.
UACGAAGGGGGCGAGCGUUGUUCGGAUUUACUGGGCGUAAAGCGCGCGCAGGCGGCCCUUUAAGUCCGUCGGUCAAAUGCCGGGGCUCAACCCCGAUGCAUGCCGAGGAUACUGGAGGGCUGGAGACACGUAGAGGCAAGCGGAAUUCCGGGUGUAGCGGUGGAAUGCGUAGAGAUCCGGAAGAACACCGGAGGCGAAGGCGGCUUGCUGGGCGUGAUCUGACGCUGAGGCGCGAAAGCGUGGGGAGCGAACAGG